This 492-nucleotide ribosomal RNA is filed under the name uncultured bacterium. RNAcentral describes it as "partial 16S ribosomal RNA". It matches the Rfam family "Bacterial small subunit ribosomal RNA", at positions 29 to 507 of the family's 1533-position model. The record is from RNAcentral.
AGUGAACGCUGGCGGUAGGCCUAACACAUGCAAGUCGAACGGCAGCACAGUAAGAGCUUGCUCUUACGGGUGGCGAGUGGCGGACGGGUGAGGCAUACAUCGGAAUCUACUUUUUCGUGGGGGAUAACGUAGGGAAACUUACGCUAAUACCGCAUACGACCUACGGGUGAAAGCAGGGGAUCUUCGGACCUUUCGCGAUUGAAUGAGCCGAGGUCGGAUUAGCUAGUUGGCGGGGUAAAGGCCCACCAAGGCGACGAUCCGUAGCUGGUCUGAGAGGAUGAUCAGCCACACUGGAACUGAGACACGGUCCAGACUCCUACGGGAGGCAGCAGUGGGGAAUAUUGGACAAUGGGCGCAAGCCUGAUCCAGCCAUACCGCGUGGGUGAAGAAGGCCUUCGGGUUGUAAAGCCCUUUUGUUGGGAAAGAAAAGCAGCAGGUUAAUACCCCGCUGUUCUGACGGUACCCAAAGAAUAAGCACCGGCUAACUUCGUG